RNAcentral lists this ribosomal RNA (352 nucleotides) under uncultured Racocetra. RNAcentral's name for it is "SSU rRNA". It matches the Rfam family "Eukaryotic small subunit ribosomal RNA", at positions 569 to 929 of the family's 1831-position model. Lineage: Eukaryota; Fungi; Glomeromycota; Glomeromycetes; Diversisporales; Gigasporaceae. The record is from RNAcentral.
AGCAGCCGCGGUAAUUCCAGCUCCAAUAGCGUAUAUUAAAGUUGUUGCAGUUAAAAAGCUCGUAGUUGAAUUUCGGGGUUCUACCGUUGGUCGGGCUUUGUCUGUACUGGCGUGUAGAAUUUCUACCUUCUGGGGAACCAUCAUGUUAUUUAUUUAGCGUGGUGGGAAACCAGGACCUUUACCUUGAAAAAAUUAGAGUGUUCAAAGCAGGCUUACGUCUGAAUACAUUAGCAUGGAAUAAUAGAAUAGGACGGUGGUCCUGUUUUGUUGGUUUCUGAAUCACCGUAAUGAUUAAUAGGGAUAGUAGGGGGCAUUAGUAUUCAAUUGUCAGAGGUGAAAUUCUUGGAUUUAU